AAAUCCUCCACAUCUUGGCAGCAGACAUAAGGAAAAUAGAUUUGUUUGGUUUAACCAUGCAGUUAAAUGUAGCAGGCUGGUUCCCCUUUGCUCUUUGUUUCUCCAUUGGCUCGGAGUGGGGAAAUUCCUAAUCUCAACACUCAGAGCUGCCUCUUUGCCAAGACUCAUCUUGCCUACAUGGCUUUUGUCAGGGCUGUGACUGGGAGAGGGAAGCCUGGCAGGUAUUUUUCUAAGACUGUAGCAAUCCAUUGCUGGUGUCCAAGGAUCUGCUGCAGAGCUGCUGCUUCAGGGAUCUGUUUGGUUGCAGUUAGCUGUGCUGUGCCCUGCAUCAGCCUCCAGAGAGCCUGUGUCACAGGACAGGAGACCUUUCAGCUGGAGAAGUCAGCCACUGUUCAAGCUUGA
This 402-nucleotide long non-coding RNA is filed under the name Chloebia gouldiae (Gouldian finch). RNAcentral's name for it is "Erythrura gouldiae (Gouldian finch) lncRNA (ENSEGOG00005006294.1)". Lineage: Eukaryota; Metazoa; Chordata; Aves; Passeriformes; Passeridae. The record is from RNAcentral.